UACGUAGGGUGCGAGCGUUGCCCGGAUUUAUUGGGCGUAAAGGGCGCGCAGGCGGCCACGCGCGUCCGUUGUGAAAUCGCUCGGCUCAACUGGGCGAGGUCAGCGGAUACGGCGUGGCUGGAGCAAGCUAGGGGGCAAUGGAAUUCCCGGUGUAGUGGUGGAAUGCGUAGAUAUCGGGAGGAACACCAGUGGCGAAGGCGGUUGCCUGGAGCUUUGCUGACGCUGAGGCGCGAAAGCGUGGGGAGCGAGCCGG
RNAcentral lists this ribosomal RNA (253 nucleotides) under uncultured bacterium. RNAcentral describes it as "partial 16S ribosomal RNA". It matches the Rfam family "Bacterial small subunit ribosomal RNA", at positions 524 to 776 of the family's 1533-position model. The record is from RNAcentral.